RNAcentral lists this ribosomal RNA (197 nucleotides) under uncultured bacterium. Its description in RNAcentral is "partial 16S ribosomal RNA". It matches the Rfam family "Bacterial small subunit ribosomal RNA", at positions 328 to 539 of the family's 1533-position model. The record is from RNAcentral.
ACGCUCGACACCUACGGAGGCAGCAGUGGGGAAUAUUGCACAAUGGGGGGAACCCUGAUGCAGCGACGCCGCGUGAGGGAAGAAGGUUUUCGGAUUGUAAACCUCUGUCUUUGGUGACGAUAAUGACGGUAGCCAAAGAGGAAGCUACGGCUAACUACGUGCCAACAGCCGCGGUAAUCUGAGCGGGCUGGCAAGGC